Molecule: ribosomal RNA, 1355 nt
Filed under: Arthrobacter sp. RA7
Lineage: Bacteria; Bacillati; Actinomycetota; Actinomycetes; Micrococcales; Micrococcaceae
Description: bacterial SSU rRNA
Rfam family: Bacterial small subunit ribosomal RNA
Source: RNAcentral
GGCGAACGGGUGACUAACACGUGAGUAACCUGCCCCUGACUCUGGGAUAAGCCUGGGAAACUGGGUCUAAUACCGGAUAUGACUGCGGAACGCAUGUUCUGUGGUGGAAAGAUUUAUCGGUUGGGGAUGGACUCGCGGCCUAUCAGCUUGUUGGUGAGGUAAUGGCUCACCAAGGCCACCACGGGUAGCCGGCCUGAGAGGUGAACCGGCUAUACUGGGACUGAGACACGGCCCAGACUCCUACGGGAGGCAGCAGUGGGGAAUAUUGCACAAUGGGCGAAAGCCUGAUGCAGCGACGCCGCGUGAGGGAUGACGGCCUUCGGGUUGUAAACCUCUUUCAGUAGGGAAGAAGCGAGAGUGACGGUACCUGCAGAAGAAGCGCCGGCUAACUACGUGCCAGCAGCCGCGGUAAUACGUAGGGCGCAAGCGUUAUCCGGAUUUAUUGGGCGUAAAGAGCUCGUAGGCGGUUUGUCGCGUCUGCCGUGAAAGUCCGAGGCUCAACCUCGGAUCUGCGGUGGGUACGGGCAGACUAGAGUGAUGUAGGGGAGACUGGAAUUCCUGGUGUAGCGGUGAAAUGCGCAGAUAUCAGGAGGAACACCGAUGGCGAAGGCAGGUCUCUGGGCAUUUACUGACGCUGAGGAGCGAAAGCAUGGGGAGCGAACAGGAUUAGAUACCCUGGUAGUCCAUGCCGUAAACGUUGGGCACUAGGUGUGGGGGACAUUCCACGUUUUCCGCGCCGUAGCUACGCAUUAAGUGCCCCGCCUGGGGAGUACGGCCGCAAGGCUAAAACUCAAAGGAAUUGACGGGGGCCCGCACAAGCGGCGGAGCAUGCGGAUUAAUUCGAUGCAACGCGAAGAACCUUACCAAGGCUUGACAUGUUCCAGACCGGGCUAGAGAUAGUCCUUCCCUUCGGGGCUGGUUCACAGGUGGUGCAUGGUUGUCGUCAGCUCGUGUCGUGAGAUGUUGGGUUAAGUCCCGCAACGAGCGCAACCCUCGUUCCAUGUUGCCAGCACGUAGUGGUGGGGACUCAUGGGAGACUGCCGGGGUCAACUCGGAGGAAGGUGGGGAUGACGUCAAAUCAUCAUGCCCCUUAUGUCUUGGGCUUCACGCAUGCUACAAUGGCCGGUACAAUGGGUUGCGAUACUGUGAGGUGGAGCUAAUCCCUAAAAGCCGGUCUCAGUUCGGAUUGGGGUCUGCAACUCGACCCCAUGAAGUCGGAGUCGCUAGUAAUCGCAGAUCAGCAACGCUGCGGUGAAUACGUUCCCGGGCCUUGUACACACCGCCCGUCAAGUCACGAAAGUUGGUAACACCCGAAGCCGAUGGCCUAACCACCUUGUGUGGGGGGUGUCGUCGAA